GUCAUUUGGAAGCAUCGUUUAUUGAGCGUCUGGAUGUCUUUACUGUACACACACACUGUUGAUGUGAUGGACAGUGAAUCUGAAUUCUGCCCAACAACAUAUUCGCGCCACAGUCGAUAAAGGAAGGGGAAAAAAAGUUGCCAGUCUACGAAGGGUUAGGAUGGAGACUGCUUCUUUGCUGCUGUCAAAUACCAUGUGGAAGAUCAGAAAACGUCGGCAGGAGGUGGGAGAGAAGGCAAUGCAGAGAUGAAGGACAUCAUACCACAAUAAUAGUUGUGUGUAUAAGCCUGAUCAACAAGUGAAAAGAGUCAGAUAAGAGGAAAGAGUUUGAAAACUGAUUUGACGACCACUGCUGAAUUGGCCUGCUAAGAGGAAGAGGCACUAAUGAUUCCAAAAGAGGAAGCCAAAGAAGACCUACACAGACUUUGAAAUGGAUCUCUCAAUUGCCAUGAUGACCAAGAUAUUCAACGGGAAAAUGUGGAAAGCUGCCAUAUUCCCAGUCAUUACUUUGCCAAAUCUUCUGUGCAGCACCACGGAGGACCCUACUUUCCUGAGUACGAAGCCGGCCAUCAAGGAGUUCCCCGACUGGCAACAGACUGGAGCAAAGGCUGUAGCAGGGACAGCAUUUUCUUUUGCUACUGAAAUAAUUUACAUUAUGAUAGAAAGUGGACAAUAUAGUGUGACAAUUAGUUUUUUUUCUCCAACAUGUACACACUGCUGUUGUGAAGCAGUGAUAUACAGCUCACGAGUGUGUAGUCAAAAGAGAGAAAUACUGUAUAUUUCAGCGACUCCUACAGAUUAAGAAAAAUAAUGAAUUUUGUUAAUAAAUAAAUGUUAUUCUUGGCUCAAUUGUUAAGUGUUUGGGUUCAAAUAACAUUACCAUGAUCCCAUAGGCAUCCAAAAAUUGAGAAAGUGACGUUUUUUAAAACUGAAACAAGGUGUUUGACAUCCUGUUGUGUGUGCAAGCCCUUUUUAUUGCCACGGGUUUACAGACAGUCUCUAAUAAUUGGGUAUCACCUGGAACACAGCCAAUAAUCGAGAGACACACCCACCAAACGAGAGAAAACAUAACUCAAGCCGUUGCACCCCGUUCCCAGGAAACGUGCGUGCCCCAGCUCUUUGCCUGAGGGGAAGCCCACAGUCUCAGACUUA
This is a long non-coding RNA of Perca fluviatilis (European perch), 1152 nucleotides long. RefSeq lists it as uncharacterized. The transcript is spliced from 5 exons. The record is from RefSeq and is a predicted model, not a curated record. Lineage: Eukaryota; Metazoa; Chordata; Actinopteri; Perciformes; Percidae.